AUUGAACGCUGGCGGCAUGCCUUACACAUGCAAGUCGAACGGUAGAGUAGCAAUACUCGAGAGUGGCGAACGGGUGAGUAAUAUAUCGGAACGCGCCCAGUCGUGGGGGAUAACGUAGAGAAAUUUACGCUAAUACCGCAUACGAUCUAAGGAUGAAAGCGGGGGAUUCGCAAGAACCUCGCGCGAUUGGAGCGGCUGAUAUCAGAUUAGGUUGUUGGUGAGGUAAAAGCUCACCAAGCCGACGAUCUGUAGCUGGUUUGAGAGAACGACCAGCCACACUGGGACUGAGACACGGCCCAGACUCCUACGGAGGCAGCAGUGGGGAAUUUUGGGACAAUGGGCGAAAGGCCUGAUCCAGCAAUGCCGCGUGCAGGAUGAAGGCCUU
This 385-nucleotide ribosomal RNA is filed under the name uncultured bacterium. Its description in RNAcentral is "bacterial SSU rRNA". It matches the Rfam family "Bacterial small subunit ribosomal RNA", at positions 30 to 418 of the family's 1533-position model. The record is from RNAcentral.